GGACUAACAAUUAAAGAUGUUCAAACAACUCACUUGACAGAGAGCACAAACAACACAAAUUGAUCACAAUAGGUAAUCAGAAUAUCAUGGGAAACUAACUGACAGAAAAUUCACAUAUAUUGAAAUAGUAAAUCAGAUUACCAAUUAUCAAGUCUCCACUCUAAAUGUUCACAGAAAUUACACACACACAUACAUGUACACGCACAUAAACUGUUCUAAUUCUUGCAAAUCAACAGAAUACAUCCAGACAAGGACAAGUUCGAAUUUCACAGGAACCCACUCACAUCUAAUACAUAGAAAUUUCAGAGAGGGAGAGAGAAUAGUAGCAAGUGUUGGAGAAGGAGAAAGUGAUUCAGAAGAAGCAGGGAAGCAGCGAGGUAGGCGAAGAAGAAGCAGCAGCAGAGGUACAGAGAGAAGGAGCAGCAACGAGGAAAGUGGGAGAGGGAGCAGCAACAGUUUUAAGAGGAGGAGGAGCAGCAGCGAGAUUCAGAGAAGAAGAAGGGGAGCAGAGGAAGUGGAGUAGCAGCAGUAGGGACGAGGGGGAGCAGCAGUUUGGGGAUUUGAAGAAGGAAGAGCAGCAGGGAUGUGAGGAGAAGGGAGGAGCAGCAGGGGAAGAAGAGAUCGUGCGAGCGAUGGCGCGGCGACGAAGAUGGAGAUGGCGCGGUGCUGGUGGUGGUGUGAGGUGCGGCUCGUGGGAAGUGGUGCUGGUGGUGCGUGGUGGAGAUGGUCGUGGCUGGCGGCGAUGGUGGUGAUGGUGUGAUGGUGAGGGGCGCACCACCACGCCGGCCUGGCUGUGGCGGCGGCCGGAGGUGGAGAAGGAGGGGUGAGGGAGAGAGAUGAGUAGCCAGGCCCGAUGGGGAAUGGAGGCGUGCUAGGGAUUUUGAUCCCCCAUGAUCUGAUCUGUCUUUUUUUUUACUUUGGCCCUCCUCCUUUCUUCUUUCUUCCCAAGUUGAUCCUCUCCUGGCUACUUCGUUUCUUCUCGCACAAGUCCAUUCGUCCUCCUCUUCUUCGUUCUCUUAGCCACUUAGUCCGGAUCUUGAAGAUUUAUAGUGCCUUUGCGCACAUUUCUGCAAAAUAGACCAAAGACUAGUAAAUGAUACUUUAUAUGAUUUUCAUGCAAAUAUUCAAUAUUUCACAGCAAGAAUUGAUGGUCAUAUCUCAAUAAAUAAUAUAUUUCUAUGCCAAAAUUGUAUAUAUGAAAUGUGCUUAUCAAGUUCCCCCACGCUUAAACUUUUGCUUGUCCUCAAGCAAAGGCAUAUGACAAGAGCAAGAAUGUGAACAGUGAGCUGACUAGAGAAUACCAAGUGAAGUAGAUGCCUAAAUAGUGCAUGCUUUGGACUUAGCUAGUGAAAAUUAAUGGUUAGGAGUGCUUCAAAGCGGUAAGAUACUAGUAAGCAUGACCAUUUUAAACUUUUACAAUGAUAAAAGAGGAUCAACAAGUUUAAAUGAUGACUGCGCCAAAUGGUUCCUAAAGAGAGCAUGAUCCCGAGAACAAAAAGAACUGGAAUUAAAUCUCUUAUUUGCAGAAAUAUAACUUUGUGGUUGAACCACUUAUUGAAUUUGAAAGAAACACACAUAUUAUUUCAUUAGUCUCACCGAAGGAACAUACCACCGAUCCCGAGAACAUGGUAUACACCUGGCUCAACCAAUUUUUAUUAAAAAAAAUUGUUUGUCUCCCCAAAGGAACAUACCACCAAUCCUGAGAACAUGGUAUACAUCUGGUUCAACAAUUACAUUUUUAUUAUUAUUAAUUACUGCCCAAGCUAACCCGAUUUCACAUGCCACCGAUCCCGGGAACAUGACAUGCUACUGUAGGUAGCCAGACUUAUUUAUUCAUUAUUACUAAUCUUAAAUGAACAACGCAUAAGAACAAAAACAGGAAUCAUCACUUCUCCAUGUCUGGUUCACAUGCUACCGAUCCAGGGAACAUAGCAAGCUAAUCCAUAGUGGUUAGGUGAUUGCUCUCAAUGGGAACACAUUAGGCACAAACUCAGCAUCUGACACUUAAUGAUCUAGGUGUAUCGAGGUAAAAGCAGAAAAUGAUUAAGUUUUCUAGUGUACUAGGGAUUUGGGCACUCAAAACUAAUAGCUUUCACUAAUUUCAGCAAAGCAAGCAUAGUGUAGAUCACUAGGUUACAAGGCAUUCAACACUCACUUCACAUAUUCACAUCAAGCACCAUAUGUCAAAUAAAAUUCAGUGGGGCAACAUUUAAGGCAUGGCUUAAGUGACCCAAAUAGUAGUUGAUUACAGCAUGUAUAAUGUAUGAUGGUAUUCAGAUUGGGGUCAUGAAACAGCUCACCGGGCACUAUGAACUAGCACUUGCUUGAUCACUCUCUAAGCUGCAACUCUUCUCUUUUUGCUUCUCUAUCCUCAUGCGUGCUCCAGCUUCUCUCUUCAUGUGUGCUCCUUGCUUCUCCUCAUCCCCAUGCCAUGGGUCCACCUGGGUCCCAAGGAAUGUCGCCUCAAACCUGGUCAGCAUGAAGUGAACGGUGCAGAAGCAACAACCUGAAAAAACACUCCACAAAAGAGACAAUGCAAGCGGUAGGGAUAAUACCCUCGAAGUCAUCAAUCGAGUAUCCAAUUACAUAAGCAUAGCUAUAAAGCACAUGUUUAGGAUGGUAGAAAUCAGCAAGGUCAACACUAACAUGAGGAUGAUAUUCAUCAUUAAGCUCAACACUAGCAUGGGAAUGAUAUGUUUCAUUAAGAAUAGAACUAGCACGAGGAAAGUAAUUGUGAUCAUCACAAAUGAGAGUAAUGCCACUAACAGGGUGUGUAUGAUCAUGUCCAAGCAAAUAAUUUUUCAAAUCUACCUUAAGUGAUGGCAUCAUGCAAUGCAAGGUAGAAGCAAAUAUGUCAUAGGGACGCGUGUCAUCGAGAGGAUUAGAUAAACCUGACACAUCACGCUCUGGUAUGGCAAUAGGCAAAUGAAUUUCUGGUUCUUCAAGUUCAUCUACAUCAGCUUCUUUUGCUUCUUCAAGAGUAGUAGAUCUUUUUUCUUCAUCUUGAUCACUUAGGAAUUGCAGCUCUGGAUCAUCUUGUUCCUUGGCUUCGAGACAUCUUCAAUCUGAGGUCUCUCUUUCUCCGGACUCUUGCUAUCUUGCUCAGCUUGAUGUGAUGGUGCUAGAACCUCACAUGUAUCAAGGGGAAUCCCAGAAAUACUCAGCUCAAGUUGUGAUGAAAUAGUACUGCCAGUGUUGAUGUUCUUCUCAAUCUUCCUUACUUCUUCCACUAGCUCUUUUCCACUCUUAAUCUUCUUCAUUUCCUCUAGUAUCACCUUCCUAAUAGGAUCAUCUUCCGCAUUCCAAGUGAACUUGAGACUAAGCAAUGUGAGCUUAUCUAUGUCAUCGAACUCAUCUUGUGUGGGCACUUGUGCAUGAGAUUGCUCAACAGGUGCUGGAGUUGUUGGUUGACCAAGUGGAGGACCAUUUAACUCCAUUGGACACAUCUCCCGGUGUUGAGGUACAUGAAUAGGAGCUGAAUAAAAUUGUUGUGGUGCAUAGUUGUUACUCUCCUCAUUGUACCUAAUUCCCUGCAAUGGAUAACUAGAGGCAAACGAUGAGAUCUCAGGGUUGUUGUUCCUAUAUGACAUAUUCUGGUUUUCAGGCCACCCAUAUGAGUAAUUGUUUUGGUAUGAGCUAGGCUAUGGGGCGAAGCUCAUGCCAUAACAAUCGGGAGGGUGAGAGUAACCACGCUGACAUUCAUCAGGUGAAUGGCCCUGAAAACCACAAAUAUGGCAUGUAGGAGCAACAUAAGGAUAACCUCUAGAAUAAGGAUCAUAAGAGCUAGGCCUAUCCUCAAAAACUACUUCUCGCUGCCGAGCUAAAUCAUCUAAUCGAUGGGAAAUCUUACUUAUCAGUUCUUGAAUACUUUCUGUGCUAUUUGUAGUGUUGCUCGCAUAAGCAUGAUGAUCUGAGUAGGAUGCCAUUUCCAAGAAGACAAUUCAACCUACAAAAUGAACAAGAAAAUAAAGAGAAGAUAACUAGAACAGUGGUUAGGAGUAAGAGAUAUAUCACAAAUAUAUGGCACAAACUAGAAAAAGAAGAAAACCCUAGUCUAUAGCCUAACACGGUCACUCGACGCUAGUCCCCGGCAACGGCGCCAAAAUGAUCAAUUGUAAGCACAGUGGGGUUUUUACGCCCAAAAUUGCGAGUGUCGUGUUCUCCACAGGGACUAGGCGACGACAGUCGUGCUCGGCUAAAGCUAGAUUAGACGGAAAGGUUUUUUGAAAUUGCAAGACAAACGUAAGUAAAGCAAGUAUGUUCCAGAAAAUCCUUGACAAAUAAAAUGUACUCACUAUAUUUUUCGUGUUUUUAUUUGUUUUACUUUGGGAACUAAAAUACUAGCACAGGCUAACAUGAGAAACAAGGAAAACUACAAGACAGCAACACAUAUAUGUUCAGCAACUAGUAUGAAAGAGAAGAAUUAAGAUCAAGGGACAAGAACAGAAGUACUUCACAUCACAAGCAUAUAUAUAUUCACACGUACAUAGCUAACACAGGGACUAAGAAUUAAAGAUGUUCAAACAACUCACUUGACAGAGAGCACAAACAACAAAAAUUGAUCACAAUAGGUAAUCAGAAUAUCAUGGGAAACUAACUGACAGAAAAUUCACAUAUAUUGAAAUAGUAAAUCAGAUUACCAAUUAUCAAGUCUCCACUCUAAAUGUUCACAGAAAUUACACACACACACACAUGUACACGCACAUAAACUGUUAUAAUUCUUGCAAAUCAACAGAAUACAUCCAGACAAGGACAAGUCCAAAUUUCACAGGAACCCACUCACAUCUAAUACAUAGAAAUUUCAGAGAGGGAGAGAGAACAGUAGCAAGUGUUGGAGAAGGAGAAAGUGAUUCAGAAGAAGCAGGGAAGCAGCGAGGUAGGCGAAGAAGAAGCAGCAGCAGAGGUACAGAGAGAAGGAGCAGCAGCGAGGAAAGUGGGAGAGGGAGCAGCAGCAGUUUUAAGAGGAGGAGGAGGAGCAGCGAGAUUCAGAGAAGAAGAAGGGGAGCAGAGGAAGUGGAGUAGCAGCAGUAGGGACGAGGGGGAGCAGCAUUUUGGGGAUUUGGAGAAGGAAGAGCAGCAGGGACGUGAGGAGAAGGGAGGAGCAGCAGGGGAAGAAGAGAUCGUGCGAGCGGUGGCGCGGCGGCGAAGAUGGAGAUGGCGCGGUGCUGCUGGUGGUGUGAGGUGCGGCUCGUGGGAAGUGGUGCUGGUGGUGCGUGGUGGAGAUGGUCGUGGCUGGCGGCGACGGUGGUGAUGGUGUGAUGGUGAGGGGCGCACCACCACGCCGGCCUGGCUGUGGCGGCGGCCGGAGGUGGAGAAGGAGGGGCGAGGGAGAGAGAUGAGUAGCCAGGCCCGAUGGGGAAUGGAGGCGUGCUAGGGAUUUUGAUCCCCCAUGAUCUGAUCUGUCUUUUUUUUUUACUUUGGCCCUCCUUCUUUCUUCUUUCUUACCAAAUUGAUCCUCUCCUGGCUACUUCGUUUCUUCUCGCACAAGUCCAUUCGUCCUCCUCUUCUUCGUUCUCUUAGCCACUUAGUCCGGAUCUUGAAGAUUUAUAGUGCCUUUGCGCACAUUUCUGCAAAAUAGACCAAAGACUAGUAAAUGAUACUUUAUAUGAUUUUCAUGCAAAUAUUCAAUAUUUCACAGCAAGAAUUGAUGGUCAUAUCUCAAUAAAUAAUAUAUUUCUAUGCCAAAAUUGUAU
Molecule: long non-coding RNA, 5693 nt
Filed under: Triticum aestivum (bread wheat)
Lineage: Eukaryota; Viridiplantae; Streptophyta; Magnoliopsida; Poales; Poaceae
Description: long non-coding RNA (TAES_LNC008791)
Source: RNAcentral